This is a non-coding RNA of Oncorhynchus mykiss (rainbow trout), 1212 nucleotides long. NCBI's taxonomy places the organism in Eukaryota, Metazoa, Chordata, Actinopteri, Salmoniformes, Salmonidae. The record is from RefSeq and is a predicted model, not a curated record.
AAAACCAGCAAAAAGAGUAACAAAUCUUUACACCAAAAAACUUAAGAUAUGUUUCAAGUUAGUCCGUGCUCCUGUUUGGUAUACUCACUCAGUUUGGUCGUUUGAUGUAGUUGUAUUAGUUCCCCUUGCUAGGUUUGUUCUAGCUCAUUUCUUCUGGCUAGCUUGUUAGUCUGUUGGCUAGGUUUUUGUUGUGUAGCUAAGUUAGCUAGCUAGAGUCAAAACAGGUGCAAAGUACUUUUUUUCUACUCUGAAUGAAUAGAGUUGUUCAUAUCUUGUCUGGAAUUAUUUUUCAGAUUAGAGUGUUUAUCUCAUUCUAAAAAUCGGGGAGAAAAAAAAUAAAUAUAUCAGGAGCUCAUGUUGAGUAUGUCUCUCUCCCUCUCUCCCUCUCCCUCUCCCUCUCUCUGAUACUGUGGUGGAGACCAAGCUCUCAGACCUUUGUGAGGGAGGACACUGUGGAAGACAUGUCACCUAUGCACCAAGUUGUCAGUAGGUGAUGUUCUCUCAAUGACAAGGACAGGGAAGGACUUUUGAGACCUGAUGCUGAGGCUCGAAAGGGCUGAGGGAAACACACACAAGACCGACCAGAAAAGUGCAGUGCUCUUACAGACGUUAAGGAGUUGGAGGAGAUUGAGAGAAGAGUGUCUCUCAGGCUAUAGAUCUUGGCUGAGUCCUACACUUCAACCUCCAUCAUUUGUCUAUGUCCUACACUUCAACCUCCAUCAUCUGCAGUUGUUACAGGCCAAGUCUCCAGGGGCCACAGCCAGUUCCGUGCCACCACCAGCUUCGUAUGCCAGGGAAUGUACCCCCAGUAGCCUGUGAUGGGGCAGUGUUGCCAGGCCUCCUCAGUGAUCCGAGAGCUGAAGCAGAGAGAGGGUCUCCGGCUGCAGGAACUGGGGCAGAUGAGGCAGGCCAAGCGGGAGGAGAUCCAAGGAGAAGACAGCCAGCAGGCCGGAGGGGGUUGGAGUUGUCUUCAUCCCCCCUCUCCCUCUCAAGAGAUAAAAACUAACAGGAUGCUACUGUAUUGCCUACACUUUCCAUCAUCAUGUCUCUCUUGGGUUUCUCUCUCUUGGGUUGGUUGCACCUUUUAAUGAAAUGAGGGUAAAUGUAUUUAUUAAUUUAAUGUUUAGUGUAUGUGUUUGUGCCUGCACCAGUGUCUGUGUGUAUUUCUGUAAUCCACUGUGGGAGAGAAGAUAAAGACCGGUCUGGAGAGGA